AUCCUUUUUAGGAACUGCCAGACUGUUUUCCAAAGCGACUGCACCAUUUUACAUUCCCACCAGCAGUGUGUGAGGGUUACAAUUGCUCCACGUCCUCGUCAACACUUGUUAUUAUCUGUCUUAUUGAUUAUAGCCAUCUUAGCGGGUGUGAAGUGCUAUCUCCUUUUGAUUUGCAUUUCCCUGAUGGGUUAAUAUUGUAAUAUUUAUUUUGCUAACUAAGGCAGAAGUUUUAAUCUUGUACUUUUAUAUGGAUACUGUCUUAAAUGACCAGAUCAACUUUCUCAAAACCAUAGCUCUGUACAAGACAAAUGCCAUUAUUUAUGGGAUUAGAGUUAUAUCUGGAAAAAACUCAAGGUAAAUGAUUUGGAGUUAACAAUACACACUCACCUGGGAGGUGGGUUUUGCAGUGAAUUCACUCACAGUGUUCCAGGGCUUUUAUCUGAGUUGCUCAUGUACUAUUGUAUGACAUUUACUGGAUAAUCCAGACAGCACUUCGAUUAAAUCCACAGUGUGAUGUCACCCAGUAAGCACUUGAAAAUGGAGAUGCAUGUCUCUUCUGGUUUUAUCAGUCAAGAUUAGAAGUGGUUCACAGCACAGUGAACUUUUUCUCCUGUGUUCUGUCAGUCUGUGUUUCAUUGUGGGCCAAUAAUCUGUCACCUGAAACUACUUAAAAUAGGUUGGGCUUUCUUGAAUGUUGUGUUGCUGUGAUGACAUCG
RNAcentral lists this long non-coding RNA (716 nucleotides) under Marmota monax (woodchuck). Lineage: Eukaryota; Metazoa; Chordata; Mammalia; Rodentia; Sciuridae. The record is from RNAcentral.